This 3569-nucleotide long non-coding RNA is filed under the name Anas zonorhyncha (Eastern spot-billed duck). Its description in RNAcentral is "lncRNA (ENSAZOG00000018503.1)". The record is from RNAcentral. Lineage: Eukaryota; Metazoa; Chordata; Aves; Anseriformes; Anatidae.
UGGGGGGGCUGCGGGGAGGGGAGGGCCCGGGGGGAUCCGGGAGGGUCCCGGGAUGGGAGGCUGCGGGCACCCCGUGGUGCUGGGGGCUGGGGGUACCCCGUGGUGCUGGGGACCCAGGGACCCAUGGGUGCCGUGGGGUUCCUCAGGUGCUGCAGGCACGGGGGGCUCGGGGGGCUCCCAGCUCGGAGGGCGAGGCCAGGGCUAAGCCCUCACAUGCAUUUGGGGAAGCCGCCACCGUCCCCCGCCUGUGCCUGAGUGCCCACCCUGCGUGGAUUCAGCCCCCCUGCCACAGGACGGGCACAGGCUGUCGGGGUUUGUUGUCCACCCCGUGCAUCGUCACCGUCCCCGAAAAAUUUGGAAGGUGGUGGUGGAAAAUGCUGGUGGGCUGCAGUGCGGGUGCAGGACUGGCAGUAGGUGUUUCGUAGCAGAGCCCUGUAGGUGCAGUGGGGUACCCAGAGCCAUUCCCCAGGCGAGCCAACCGUGCACCCGCUGUCCGGGCACUGUGUGAGCUCGGGGAGGUCCCAGCAUCGCUGCAGCGGGUGGGAGCCCGAGUAGCUCCCUGGCCUCCCGACCGGCCGACCCAGGCAAUGGUGACGACAGCUCCAGAAAGAAGAGCCCAGCCCUCAAAUCAGGCUGUGGGGAAGACCAAACUUUUCUCCCCUCCCUCUGUCCCUGUGUCGGUGCCGGCACACCCACCCCGUGCGCGGCCAAGGACCUGCUGCAGCCCCGGAUGGCCCAGGCACGGGCUGCCCCGUCCGUCCCAUCCAGCUGGGGCAGAGGCAUUGAGGGGAAGGGGCGNUGAGCACCCAAACCCCCCUGGCUGUGCCCAGCCCACCACAUCGGCGGUGGCAUCGCAGGUGAUGUGUCCCUGUGACAGCCAGCUCAGGGCUGUGACGGCUCCGUGCGAGGAUCCCAAAUCCCAGCAGGUCGCUGGCAGCUCCAGCCCUCUCGCUGCGGAGGAAGCCGCCUGCUUGCUCAGUGGUUUCCCUUUAACUUUGGAACAGCCUCAGCCCGGGGCUUCAGGGCUUAUCGCCCGUGCGCAGCUUCAAGGGAAACGUGCCUCGCGAAGAUAAAUCAAGUCGCACUGGCCGGGGCUGCUCUGGACUCUGUUCUUCUCACAUUCCUCAUGACCUCAGUGUUUUGGCUCGGAGGACGGCCAGGGAGCGCCGUCAGCAUGUCCAGCCCUGGGCGGUCGCCUCGCUCCAGCCCCGUGGAUCGUGGGGCUGGGGGAGCAGCCCCGCUGCACCCCUCGCCAGGGGAUGCGGUGCAGAGGUGGCCAAAGCUUAAAAAUCGCUCACCCACUGGCCCUGGGCUUUGGCACUGGAGGAGCAUCGCCCCAUGGAUGAGGCCAGCAGCUCGCAGUGGGUUGGGCUCAGCCUGGGGUGCGGUGCUGGGUGGUCCUGAGCCAGGAUUCCUCUCCAGGCCUGGACGGCAGAUUCAGCUCCGGUGGCUGUGUGGGCGCAGCUCAGCAUCCAGCUUGGCUCCUGGGCCUCUCACCUGCUGUGGGAUUUUAUUGUACUCGAGCUGAGGAGCUCCACUUUGGCCCAAAGUUUCCUGUGUGGGCAUCAGUACGACAGCAAGGGGAUAAAACAAGUGUGGCACCAGCGCGGAGCAUGGCCCCGGCUCUGCAGGGACAACCCAGUCCUUGUCCAUCCCCGUCUUGCUUAAGAGCCUCCCCAGCAGCACUGCAGCAUGUGCCAACCAGCUUUUGUGCAGAGAUGCCAGGGCCAGAAAUGAUGCUUUAACUUCUUCCGAAGGGAGCUGGGAUGGCACAGGGGCCUCCCAUCCCCGGGACCGGUGCUUUGAGCACAGCACCAGGUCCUGGCACGUCUCCUCCUGGGCACAGGGGUGCCCGCUGGCUCGGCAGGGCUGUGGAGGCACCCGGCAGCACCCAGCCCGGUGUCCAGGGGAGCGGCCGAGGCUGCCAAAACCCAGCCUUCUGCAACAAAGCCACCGACACGGUCCUCCCCGCCCUGGCUUGAGCAGAGAUGGAGAGCGGCUGCUCUUUGAACCGGUGCCGCGGUGCUGGCGGCCGCAGGGACAAGGCUGGCUUUGUGUGGCUGAGCCCAGCAGGUGACAGCUGGGACGUGGGGACUUAACCCUCUCGCCGCUGUUGCGUGUCAGCUCCUCUUCUCGAGCCUCCAGAGCUCAACUUUGGCCUGAUGCUCUCCUCUCCUCCCCUCCCAGCCCUGGGUCACUGGCGUGGAGGGGAUGGCUAAAAGGCAGCGAGUGCCACAGAGCAGGGGCACCGUUGCCACGAGCUUUACGGGAGGCGUCGCGGUGCCCGGCCCUUGCAGCCCCCUGCAGAGCAGAGCUGAGCACGGCGGUGCUGAGCGCGGUGGCUUUUCCUGGCUUGGCCCCAGGCAGGACAAUUCCCGGUCGCGCAGCGGAAGGGAGCUGCCGGGCCGCUUCCCCGAGGAAAUGCGCCCGUGCUCGGGGCCGCGCGGCCGCUGCUGUUGCUCUCCCUUUUCCUCCUGCUUGAUCCACGGUGAGCACGAAGCCCGGUGAGGACUCGAUCCUGGCCUCAGCUCUUUUUUUUUAACUUGCACCGAGGGCACCAGGCCCGGUGCAGGAGGACACCGGCCGCUUCCCCAGUUCAGCGAGGAGGAGGACGCGUGAGCCUGUUGGGCAUGAGGCCGGGAUGGGGUGGCAGCAUGGAGGUAGCUCUUCGCCGAGAAGAUCCUGAGGGAGGCAGAGGCAAUUGUCUCAGGAUGCUCAUCAGCUGGGGUGGGUUGGUGGGGUCAGGGAGCCCAGGUUUUGAUCCUGCCCAGCCGGACCCAGCCCCUCAUCCCCGUGUGCCAGGGUCGGGUGAGAGCCAGGUAGGAGCGUGGAGCAUCCCUGUGUGGGGAGAGGUUCGUGCAGUCCCAGGUGCUGCUCCUGGGGCCAGCUGAGCAAUUUGCAGUGAGUCACUCGCUACAACUCGUUAAAAUGAGGCGUUGGGCUUGGGGGCAGAGUGGGGCCAGGGAGAGGAACGCAGUGCCCAAUGCUCGGUCCCAAAGGUUCGGUUGUGGAUGCCAGCGGUCCCUGUGCCCUUUUCCAGGCAAUGCUGAUCCCCAGCUUCCCUCAGGCAGAUCGGACCUGGUCCUUUUCUGUGGUGUUGAUGCCUCUGGGCCUCUCUGGCCGCUCACACCAUCCCUGAGCUGCUCUCCAAAUAGGCCUCGAUGUGCCAGCAGCUUCCUCCGACUCGCCCACGGGGGCACUUGUCCUGUGCCUUCUUCCUGAGGGUGCCGAAAAUAGCCCAGUGCCAAAUGCUCUGCCCGCUGACAGCUGCACAGCGCCCUGUGGGGAGGGUCCCCACAUACCUCCAGCACAGGGACCCCCAGGCAGGGUGGGCAUGGGCAUGGAGAGCCCUGGGGACACGGGGACCAGCGGUGGAGCUCCCGGGACAGACAUUGCUUGAGUGACAGCUGCUUCCUACAAGGGAUCAGCGAAGCUGGGAACAGGAAUGUUCCCAGCACCGGGCUUGAUUUGGCUCAAAUGUUUUCCACCAGGCAAUAUUGUUCCCGCAGCCCCAGUGCCCAGAUGCAGCAGGUUGGAGCUGAACAAUUGCAGCUGCCAGCCCCUCAGCG